This 759-nucleotide small RNA is filed under the name Pongo abelii (Sumatran orangutan). RNAcentral describes it as "processed transcript". The record is from RNAcentral. Lineage: Eukaryota; Metazoa; Chordata; Mammalia; Primates; Hominidae.
AGUUCCUCUCGCAGGAAUUGAAUGGGAAACCUGAAGCAAGUUCCACUUUUGGACAUGGCUAUGUAAUGUAUCCUUUCGAAAUUCCCAGUCGUAAGCAGAUGUGUCUUGCUGAAUCAGGGCUCUCUUAUCCCUGCCAUCGACUUACAGUGGGAAGAAGAUCUUCACCUGCACAGACCCGGGAACAGUCAGAAGAACAAAGCACCGAUGUUCAUAUGGUUAGUGAUAGCGAUGGAGAUGACUUUGAAGAUGCUACAGAAUUUGGGGUGGAUGAUGGAGAAGUAUUUGGCAUGGCGUCAUCUGCCUUGAGAAAAUCUCCAAUGAUGCCAGAAAACGCAGAAAAUGAAGGAGAUGCCUUAUUACAAUUUACAGCAGAGUUUUCUUCAAGAUAUGGUGAUUGCCAUCCUGUAUUUUUUAUUGGCUCAUUAGAAGCUGCUUUUCAAGAGGCCUUCUAUGUGAAAGCCCGAGAUAGAAAGCUUCUUGCUAUCUACCUCCACCAUGAUGAAAGUGUGUUAACCAACGUGUUCUGCUCACAAAUGCUUUGUGCUGAAUCCAUUGUUUCUUAUCUGAGUCAAAAUUUUAUAACCUGGGCUUGGGAUCUGACAAAGGACUCCAACAGAGCAAGAUUUCUCACUAUGUGCAAUAGACACUUUGGCAGUGUUGUGGCACAAACCAUUCGGACUCAAAAAACAGAUCAGUUUCCGCUUUUCCUGAUUAUUAUGGGAAAGCGAUCAUCUAAUGAAGUGUUGAAUGUGAUACAAG